This 83-nucleotide transfer RNA is filed under the name Bacteroidales bacterium 52_46. Its description in RNAcentral is "tRNA-Val". It matches the Rfam family "tRNA". From Rfam's summary of the family: Transfer RNA (tRNA) molecules are approximately 80 nucleotides in length. Their secondary structure includes four short double-helical elements and three loops (D, anti-codon, and T loops). Lineage: Bacteria; Pseudomonadati; Bacteroidota; Bacteroidia; Bacteroidales. The record is from RNAcentral.
AGCCUCGUAGCUCAAUGGUCGAGCAGUGUGCCCACAUAAUUAAGGGCAUGCCGAUGGCGGUUCGAGUCCGCCCGAGGUUACAA